Molecule: transfer-messenger RNA, 372 nt
Filed under: Beijerinckiaceae bacterium
Lineage: Bacteria; Pseudomonadati; Pseudomonadota; Alphaproteobacteria; Hyphomicrobiales; Beijerinckiaceae
Description: Alphaproteobacteria transfer-messenger RNA
Rfam family: Alphaproteobacteria transfer-messenger RNA
About the family: Bacterial tmRNA, also known as 10Sa RNA or SsrA, is named for its dual tRNA and mRNA-like properties.
Source: Rfam by way of RNAcentral
UCCCUUUGAAAAGUGCGCCAUAAGGCUUAUAUUCCGAGAGCCGCCUUGCGCGGCUAUGGCGAUAAACGGUGUCGAAAUAAGCUCUUCGGACCCGGGGGCGGUACCCGGCGCCUCCACCAAAGCCCGGUUGCGCCUGCUUUUGCUGCGCGACGCGGGUUUCGGCGGGGGCGAAAUAGGUUCGACGGGGAGUGUAAAGGACGAUCUUUUGCCCGGCAUGGUUCCGCCGUCAUCGGGCCGAACCUUAUAGUUGCUAAUGACAACUAUGCUCCGGUGGCUCUUGCCGCGUAAUGCGGCAAUAGUACCGAAAUCAAGCCCUUGGAGGUAGCACUUCAAGGCGGGGUCCGGAGGCACCUGGCAACAGAAGCCUCCACU